UUUUCCACGGAGAGUUUGAUCCUGGCUCAGGAUGAACGCUGGCGGCGUGCUUAACACAUGC
Molecule: ribosomal RNA, 61 nt
Filed under: Coriobacteriia bacterium
Lineage: Bacteria; Bacillati; Actinomycetota; Coriobacteriia
Description: partial 16S ribosomal RNA
Source: RNAcentral